UGGGGAAUAUUGCACAAUGGGCGCAAGCCUGAUGCAGCCAUGCCGCGUGUAUGAAGAAGGCCUUCGGGUUGUAAAGUACUUUCAGCGGGGAGGAAGGGAGUAAAGUUAAUAGCUUUACUCAUUGACGUUACCCGCAGAAGAAGCACCGGCUAACUCCGUGCCAGCAGCCGCGGUAAUACGGAGGGUGCAUGCGUUAAUCGGAAUUACUGGGCGUAAAGCGCACGCAGGCGGUCUGUCAAGUCGGAUGUGAAAUCCCCUGGCUCAACCUGGGAACUGCAUUCGAAACUGGCAGGCUAGAGCCAAGUAGAGGGGGGUAGAAUUCCAGGUGUAGCGGUGAAAUGCGUAGAUAGCUGGAGGAAUACCGGUGGCGAAGGCGACCCCCUGGACAAAGACUGACGCUCAGGUGCGAAAGCGUGGGGAGCAAACAGG
Molecule: ribosomal RNA, 429 nt
Filed under: Chloroflexota bacterium
Lineage: Bacteria; Bacillati; Chloroflexota
Description: Chloroflexi bacterium partial 16S ribosomal RNA
Rfam family: Bacterial small subunit ribosomal RNA
Source: RNAcentral